GAUGAACGCUGGCGGCGUGCCUAAUACAUGCAAGUCGAGCGGUAAGGCUCUGCACAGGUUACUUGUACGAGAGUUAAGUCUCUUAAGUUACUUCUAGGCUAGAAGUAAUCAAAGUCGAGUGAUGUGUGUAGAGUACACGAGCGGCGGACGGCUGAGUAACGCGUAGGAACAUACCCAAAGUGAGGGAUAAGCACCAGAAAUGGUGUCUAAUACCGCAUGUGGUCUUCGGAUUAAAGCUUUAUGCGCUUUGGGAAUGGCCUGCGUUCGAUUAGCUUGUUGGUGAGGUAAUGGCUCACCAAGGCUUUGAUCGAUAGCUGGUCUGAGAGGAUGAUCAGCCAGACUGGAACUGAGACACGGUCCAGACUCCUACGGGAGGCAGCAGUAGGGAAUUUUCCACAAUGGGCGAAAGCCUGAUGGAGCAACGCCGCGUGCAGGAUGAAGGCUUUCGGGUCGUAAACUGCUUUAUAGGUGAAGAUUAUGACGGUAACCUA
RNAcentral lists this ribosomal RNA (491 nucleotides) under uncultured bacterium. RNAcentral's name for it is "bacterial SSU rRNA". It matches the Rfam family "Bacterial small subunit ribosomal RNA", at positions 28 to 482 of the family's 1533-position model. The record is from RNAcentral.